AUGGCUCCUAAGGUGGCCAAAACCCCUGUGACUUGUAAUUGGGUUCCAUCCACAGUGACAAAAAGCAAACUUGCCGAGUUUGUGAAGUCCGGCCAUCUGCCAAAGAGGGAGAUCAUGUCUUACCGUGCCCCUAAUCCAUCUGAGGAAAUACCUCAACCCAAAGACGGGGAGGUAGUAGUUUUUACGGAUCACAUGAGCCGGGGAUUUGCUCCUCCCGGUUCAAAAUUCUUCAGGGAGGUUUUGAAUUUCUUUGAUCUUAGACCUCAAGACAUCGGACCCAAUUCAGAUAUUUGCAAUUUUCAAGUCUUCUGCGAGGUGUACCUGGGAGAAGAGCCAAGUCUGCUAUUGUUUAGGGAACUUUUUUACAUGAACCGGCAAAAUGAAUGUGCCAAUGGGCCGAGUCUUGAGCAUGGCGGCAUCUCAAUCCAGCGACGGAGAGAUUGCCUUUUUCCUUAUGCUGAGCUGUCGAGUCACCCAAAAUCUUGGAACCAAACGUGGUUCUAUUGUCAAGAUACCUCACCGGCUGAUGAGAAGCCCCUGCCCGACUUUCGCGCCCUGCGCCUUGAAUCUAAUCAUCGGUUGGCAGACAAAUUAUCCACUGUUGAACGCCUGCCCCUCAACCCUACCAUCAAGAAGAUCAAAGCUCUUCUGGGGAACGGGUUAAACGGUAUCAAUCUGGUUCGAGUCUGGGUCACCUGGCGGAUACUACCAUUAAGUCGCCGCUCCGGCUUAAUGUGCACCUACACAGGCGAAAAGGAUGAUCCGAUGCGUCAAAGUCCUGAUGAUCUCCCGGAUGAUGUUAUAGAUGCUACAGUCCAAUCUCUGUUGAAGGAGGGUACUGUGACCAGUAAUGCCUUCGGCUUACUGCCCUUCUGCAAGAAGAACCCGGCCCCUGCGGUAAGUUAUCAAUCUUCAAAAAUACUCUUUAACAUGUUAUGUCUUCUUGUAUUUAUGAUUCCUUAUCUUUUUCCACAGGCCAAUGACAAUUUCUGGAAGGUCAAGUAUGACCACGAGGCCGCCAAGCAAGCCAGGGCAGCCAAGAAAACUGAAAGAAAAACUGCCAAGACGGGAACCUCAAGGAAGAAGAAACCCAAUGCUUCCGACUUGCUCAAAUUGGAUGAUACUUCUUCGGAUGAUGAAGAGGAAGAUACGGGGAAUAGUCAAGCAGUUGAAGAAGAGCAACAACAACUUGAGAACCGGAGGCAAACUCGGGCCACUCAAGAUGCCGAACUCUCCUCCGGCUUACCUGAUGUAACCAGGAAGCGUCGAACCGAGCCUACAAGUGAAGCCUAG
RNAcentral lists this ribosomal RNA (1293 nucleotides) under Triticum aestivum (bread wheat). RNAcentral's name for it is "partial small subunit ribosomal RNA". The record is from RNAcentral. Lineage: Eukaryota; Viridiplantae; Streptophyta; Magnoliopsida; Poales; Poaceae.